Molecule: ribosomal RNA, 254 nt
Filed under: uncultured bacterium
Lineage: Bacteria
Description: partial 16S ribosomal RNA
Rfam family: Bacterial small subunit ribosomal RNA
Source: RNAcentral
UACAGAGGGUGCGAGCGUUAAUCGGAAUUACUGGGCGUAAAGCGUGCGUAGACGGUUAUUUAAGUCGGGUGUGAAAGCCCCGGGCUCAACCUGGGAAUUGCAUUCGAAACUACAGUGUCUUGAAUGUCUGAGGGGUUAGUGGAAUUCCCGGUGUAGGAGUGAAAUCCGUAGAUAUCGGGAGGAACACCAGAGGCGAAGGCGGCUAACUGGCAGAACAUUGACGUUGAGGCGCGAAAGCGUGGGGAGCAAACAGG